Macaca mulatta (Rhesus monkey) is the source of this 148-nucleotide unclassified non-coding RNA. It matches the Rfam family "Metazoan signal recognition particle RNA". Rfam says of the family: The signal recognition particle (SRP) is a universally conserved ribonucleoprotein. The record is from Ensembl. Lineage: Eukaryota; Metazoa; Chordata; Mammalia; Primates; Cercopithecidae.
GCUGGGCAUGGUGGUGUGUGCCUGUGAUCCCAGCUACUUGGGAGGCUGAGGCAAGAGAAUUGCUUGAACCCGGGAGGCAGAGACUGCAGUGAGCCGAGAUUGCACCACUGCACUCCAGCCUGGGUGACAAAGUGAGAUCUUGUCUCCA